This 621-nucleotide long non-coding RNA is filed under the name Equus caballus (horse). RNAcentral's name for it is "lncRNA (ENSECAG00000056662.1)". The record is from RNAcentral. Lineage: Eukaryota; Metazoa; Chordata; Mammalia; Perissodactyla; Equidae.
GCCAAAUCUACUUAAGAGAAGCUACUUUAUAAAAAUCCUUGUAUGAGCAGUUAAACAAGAUAGCUACAGGGAUGUUCACUGCCAUGUGAUUUGCAAUAGCAACAAAAGAAACAACUAUCUAAAUCUUUUAAUAGAAGAAUAAUAAAAACAAUUAAAAUGGAUCCAUAAAAUAGAACACUAUGCAGCCUUAAUGGAACAUGCUGCUGACUUUGAUAUGCUAACCUGGCAUACAUCUGUGAUACAUUGUUUAGGAAGAAAGUAGGAUGUAGAACAAUGUGCGAAGGAAGAGACGUAGAGAAGAAUGCCCAGAACAUGAGUGUACAGCUUGACGGAUUUUCACGAACUGAGCACAUCUAUUUUACUAGCAUCCAGAUCAAGAAAUGGGACACUAACAACAUCGCAGAAACCCCUUUCAUGAUCCCUACCAAUCACUACUGAUCUCCACCCCUGCCAAGUAGCAUAAGAAACUCCAGGGACCACAGUUUCAUCAUGAACAAAUCCAAGAUUAACUGGCACAUAAAGCUGGGGAAAUGAGGAUCCGAUAAGAUCAUGAGCCUAAGAAUGUUAUUCUGUAAAUCAUCAACUAACGAAUCACUGGGACUUGAAUCCAGCAAAUAUCCG